UCAGGGUUUUCUCUGUUUUUGCUUCAUUUUGUUUUACCACAGACAGUUUUUAAUCUUUCCAGGAAAUGAAAUACUUUCAUUCACUAAUGUUUUCACAAUCUAUUGUCAAUUAUCUAUUAUCUAAACGCUCUCUUUUAAUUGUGAAGCAACAAUGGAUUGUCUCAUAGAAACGAGAUGAAAGCCUAGGCAUUAGCUGUGGUCAGAAUGAUGUUGCCCAUCCAGCAGUCUCUUCCCCCCCCCCCCCCCCCCCACC
This is a non-coding RNA of Biomphalaria pfeifferi, 253 nucleotides long. The record is from the annotation of a GenBank genome assembly. NCBI's taxonomy places the organism in Eukaryota, Metazoa, Mollusca, Gastropoda, Planorbidae.